CCGGCGCACGGGUGCGUAACGCGUAUGCAACCUACCUUUAACAGGGGGAUAACACUGAGAAAUUGGUACUAAUACCCCAUAAUAUCAUAGAAGGCAUCUUUUAUGGUUGAAAAUUCCGAUGGUUAGAGAUGGGCAUGCGUUGUAUUAGCUAGUUGGUGGGGUAACGGCUCACCAAGGCGACGAUCGGUAGCCGGACUGAGAGGUUGAACGGCCACAUUGGGACUGAGACACGGCCCAG
Molecule: ribosomal RNA, 238 nt
Filed under: uncultured bacterium
Lineage: Bacteria
Description: partial 16S ribosomal RNA
Rfam family: Bacterial small subunit ribosomal RNA
Source: RNAcentral